This 29-nucleotide small RNA is filed under the name Bombyx mori (domestic silkworm). Its description in RNAcentral is "ovarian small RNA-2942". The record is from RNAcentral. Lineage: Eukaryota; Metazoa; Arthropoda; Insecta; Lepidoptera; Bombycidae.
UACAUGAGAUUAUAUCCUGAUGCAAUUGC